UGAUAGUUGCUAACGAGAUGGGUCUGU
This 27-nucleotide small RNA is filed under the name Bombyx mori (domestic silkworm). RNAcentral describes it as "ovarian small RNA-32495". Lineage: Eukaryota; Metazoa; Arthropoda; Insecta; Lepidoptera; Bombycidae. The record is from RNAcentral.